UACGUAGGGUGCAAGCGUUGUCCGGAAUUAUUGGGCGUAAAGAGCUCGUAGGCGGUUUGUCGCGUCUGCUGUGAAAACCCGAGGCUCAACCUCGGGCCUGCAGUGGGUACGGGCAGACUAGAGUGCGGUAGGGGAGAUUGGAAUUCCUGGUGUAGCGGUGAAAUGCGCAGAUAUCAGGAGGAACACCAGUGGCGAAGGCGGUGCUCUGGGCCGGUACUGACGCUGAGGAGCGAAAGCGUGGGGAGCAAACAGG
Molecule: ribosomal RNA, 253 nt
Filed under: uncultured bacterium
Lineage: Bacteria
Description: partial 16S ribosomal RNA
Rfam family: Bacterial small subunit ribosomal RNA
Source: RNAcentral